GAAGAGCACGCGCUAUAAAUGGCACACUUAAAUUAAAUGUCAACUUCUGACCGAUAAAUAAUAGUUUAUGUGAUUUUUCAAAAUUUUUAACAAUAACUUUUGACUUAAAUGAGCAAACACGCGUGGGAAAACCGUCUUCCGGUCUGUUCCGCUAAGACUUCUGGGUGGUUCAACAUUAUGAGCGUGCCGUCAUUUUCAGGUUGGGUCGUGUCGUUACCAAACCAGCCAGAGGACCCGGCGUCUUCUGGUUCAUCCCCUGGCUGGACAUCACCCACAAAGUAGACCUGAGGAUCAUGUCAUUCUCUCUGUGUUUCUUCCCCUCCGUGUUGAUUGGUCUCGUGUCCCCCUUGUCGGCAGCGAACCUUUGUUCCCGCGUGACGAGCUGUGUGUUUCGUCUCCCUGUGUUCCCCUCUUGUUCUCAGGCUGCCCCACUUGGAUCUCGACCUCCCGCCUGGACACGGACUUUGACGCCUCCCUCCUCCCCUCGACCUCACGUCUGUCUCACGGAUCUCCGAGCUCGUGUUGCCCCCCCUUGGACUUCCGCACCUCUCGCUCAACACUCCCGGUAACACACUCCAGUUAAUUCACACACACACAUUUUGGAUUAGUACACACACUUCAUCUAUUAUUUAUAUAUAUAUAAUGUAUAUAUAUAAAUAAAUAGAGCUUAUACGACGUUCCUCCUGUCUGUGCCGUCUCCUUCCAGUU
Entelurus aequoreus (snake pipefish) is the source of this 708-nucleotide RNA transcript. RefSeq lists it as uncharacterized. The record is from RefSeq and is a predicted model, not a curated record. The transcript has 3 exons. Lineage: Eukaryota; Metazoa; Chordata; Actinopteri; Syngnathiformes; Syngnathidae.